Molecule: ribosomal RNA, 285 nt
Filed under: Paraglomus brasilianum
Lineage: Eukaryota; Fungi; Glomeromycota; Glomeromycetes; Paraglomerales; Paraglomeraceae
Source: RNAcentral
CAGUCGCGUCUCUCGGGACUCAGCCACGACCUCUCGAGGUCGCGGCGCAUUUCCCGAGUCUGGACGGGCCAGCAUCGGUUUCGAGCGUCGUAAAAAGGCGCGAGGAAUGUGGCACCCUCGGGUGUGUUAUAGCCUCGCGUCGUAUGCGACGGACGGGACCGAGGAACGCAGCGCGCCCCUUCGCGGGGGCCGGGGUUCGCCCACGGUAACGCGCUUAGGACGCUGGCGUAAUGGCUUUAAGCGACCCGUCUUGAAACACGGACCAAGGAGUCUAACAUAUGUGCG